UACGGGGGGGGCAAGCGUUGUUCGGAAUUACUGGGCGUAAAGGGCUCGUAGGUGGCCAACUAAGUCAGACGUGAAAUCCCUCGGCUUAACCGGGGAACUGCAUCUGAUACUGGAUGGCUUGAGUUUGGGAGAGGGAUGCGGAAUUCCAGGUGUAGCGGUGAAAUGCGUAGAUAUCUGGAGGAACACCGGUGGCGAAGGCGGCAUCCUGGACCAACACUGACACUGAGGAGCGGAAGCCAGGGGAGCAAACGGG
This 253-nucleotide ribosomal RNA is filed under the name uncultured bacterium. Its description in RNAcentral is "partial 16S ribosomal RNA". It matches the Rfam family "Bacterial small subunit ribosomal RNA", at positions 524 to 776 of the family's 1533-position model. The record is from RNAcentral.